GUUUGGGGAGCAUCACUGAGGUGGGUGGGAGCGGAGGACCCGUGGCCCUGCCCUGAGGGGACACAGCAAACACCGCCCAGUGACUCCUGGUGAUGACAGGUGGGGAAUGAGGAUGCAAUUUGGGACUGUCGAGAAGCCUUAAUGACAGAAGGAAGAGAAAGAAACAAUAAAGUGAGUCAGGGAUACCAGAAUAAAAAUCAUGCAACAGAUCUGCUUAUUGCUCCCGGCUGCGAGAAGCGCCCUCCGAAAACACUCUUUGUUUUUGUGUCCCCACCUCUUCCCAGAACCUCCUGUCUAAUUUUUACAUCUUGUCAUUAUCUUCAUCCUUUCAGAACCUGCUGCUGUUGCAAAACCUCCAGUUGAAGCUCAGGGCAGUACAGACCAUGACCCCGGAUUUUUUUUCCUUCCUUGAACUCAGUUUACUCCAAAGAACAAGAGGGAAAGUCUGGUGCCAGCGACGUGAAAGUAGCAAAUAAUGGAAAAUCAUCUGGAAUCCCAACCGUUGCAUGAAGAUAACGCUUCCAUCUUUGCUUGCGUUCAACCAGUUGAUAAUGCAGAAAACACGGGGCCUGCAACCGUGUUAAAAACACGUCCACAUCACUCUGAACAUCCCAUCUUCCUGCUAUGUUGGUGUGGCAGAGGACAGAACGCUCAGCACGUUGCCAAACCCGCAGCUUCGGCGCAUCGGCUUGGCGGGCUCCGCAUUUCUGUCGAUGUUUCCCCAUUCUUUGUCCUGACGUGGGGGUGGCAGGACAGCAUUUCUGAAGCCCGGUGGGUGCAACCAGGAACCGAGAUGGGGACAGGCACAGAGGUCCCACCUCGCAAUUUCCAGGGGUGGGAAAUGCUAAUUCAAGCUGUUGCUUGCACCAGGUGUGUCACUGCCUCUGAUGAAAGAGAUCCUCGGGUGCAUAUAAAGGGCCAUCCAGGAGCUGGGAUCACUACAACGGACCCAUCCUCUGCAAACCUCCUCGCAGACAAGGGUAUCCCACCAUGUCCACGCACACCACCGCCGUACAACCCAAGGACCAGCAAUUCCCAGGGAACUGCACUCUGGAAAAGGCCCUGGAAUCCAUCGUGAACAUCUUCCACCAGUACAGCAUCCGUGAGGGUCAGCUGGACCUCCUCAACUUCAAUGACUUCCAGACAAUGCUGACUGAGCAGGCACCCAACUUCCUGAAAGUCUGUGUGAGUGUCCUGGGGGGGGGCUCAGCUGAGCUGGUCCUGGGGGUGCAUCAGUGGGAAUGGGGUGCAAACAUCUCUGAAGGGCUGUGGUCUAUCAGAUGCAGCGCAGCCAUGCACUGUGGGACCAGCCAUGCUCAUAGAAUGGCUUAGGUUGGAUCCACUGCAGAAUGCCUUGGGUGGGAAGGGUCCUGAAAGAUCCUAGGGCUGCAGAAUCCCUUGGGUGGGAAGGGUCCUGAAAGAUCCUAAGGCUGCAGAAUGCCUUGGGUGGGAAGGGUCCUGAAAGAUCCUAGGGCUGCAGAAUGCCCUGGGUGGGAAGGGUCCUGAAAGAUCGUAGGGCUGCAGAAUGCCUUGGGUGGGAAAGGUCCUGAAAGAUCGUAGGGCUGCAGAAUGCCUUGGGUGGGAAGGGUCCUGAAAGAUCCUAGGGCUGCAGAAUGCCUUGGGUGGGAAGGGUCCUGAAAGAUCCUAGAACCACGGAACUGUUGGGUUGGAAGGGACCUCACAGCCUCCCCAUGCUGACCCUUGUUAGGAGCCGGGUGCCCCCCCAGCUCAAGCUGCCCAGGGCCCCAUCCAUGUCUUUGGGCACCUCCAGGGAUGGGACACCCACAGUCCCACAUAAGGCAAGACCCAUCCUUCUCGGGAAUAAAGAUCCCAAUGAUCCCACAUCCUCCAAAUGCUUCUCAGCAAUGAAAGGAACAGGGUGGGGGUGGUGCCCACCGGUGGGCACA
Molecule: long non-coding RNA, 1907 nt
Filed under: Meleagris gallopavo (turkey)
Lineage: Eukaryota; Metazoa; Chordata; Aves; Galliformes; Phasianidae
Description: lncRNA (ENSMGAG00000020655.1)
Source: RNAcentral